AACGAACGCUGGCGGCAUGCCUAACACAUGCAAGUCGAACGGGAUCCUAGCUUGCUAGGUGAGAGUGGCGGACGGGUGAGUAACACGUGGGAAUCUGCCUUUUGGUUCGGGAUAACCGCGGGAAACUGCGGCUAAUACCGAAUGCCCUCGAGAGAGGAAAGAUUUAUCGCCAGAAGAGGAGCCCGCGUCCGAUUAGGUAGUUGGUGGGGUAAAGGCCUACCAAGCCGACGAUCGGUAGCUGGUCUGAGAGGAUGAUCAGCCACACUGGGACUGAGAUACGGCCCAGACUCCUACGGGAGGCAGCAGUGGGAAUAUUGGACAAUGGGGGCAACCCUGAUCCAGCAAUGCCGCGUGAGUGAUGAAGGCCUUAGGGUUGUAAAGCUCUUUUGCCAGGGAAGAUGAUGACUGUACCUGGAGAAUAAGCCCCGGCUAACUUCGUGCCAGCAGCCGCGGUAAAU
Molecule: ribosomal RNA, 458 nt
Filed under: uncultured bacterium
Lineage: Bacteria
Description: bacterial SSU rRNA
Rfam family: Bacterial small subunit ribosomal RNA
Source: RNAcentral